RNAcentral lists this ribosomal RNA (433 nucleotides) under uncultured bacterium. Its description in RNAcentral is "partial 16S ribosomal RNA". It matches the Rfam family "Bacterial small subunit ribosomal RNA", at positions 29 to 507 of the family's 1533-position model. The record is from RNAcentral.
AACGAACGCUGGCGGCAUGCCUAACACAUGCAAGUCGAACGAGACCUUCGGGUCUAUUCGCGCACGGGUGCGUAACGCGUGGGAAGCUGCCCAUGUGGUCGGGAUAACAGUUGGAAACGACUGCUAAUACCGGAUGAUGACUUCUGUCCAAAGAGUUAUCGCACAGGGAUGGGCCAGAGUCGGAUUCGCUAGUUGUGUAGGUAAGAGCUCACCAAGGCGAGGAUCCGUAGCUGGUAUGAGAGAAAGAUCAGCCACACUGAGACUGAGAAACGGCCCAGAAUCCUACGGGAGGCAGCAGUGGGGAAUAUUGGAAAAUGGGCGAAAGCAUGAUCCAGCAAUGCCGCGAGAGUGAUGAAGGCCUUAGGGUUGUAAAGCGCUUUUACCCGGGAUGAUAAUGACGGUACCGGGAGAAUAAGCCCCGGCUAACUCCGUG